CUAGUUGGUGGAGUAAUAGCCUACCAAGGCAAUGAUCUAUAGCUGAUCUGAGAGGAUGAUCAGCCACACUGGAACUGAGAUACGGUCCAGACUCCUACGGGAGGCAGCAGUGGGGAAUAUUGGACAAUGGGCGAAAGCCUGAUCCAGCCAUGCCGCAUGAGUGAAGAAGGCCUUUGGGUUGUAAAGCUCUUUUAGUGAGGAAGAUAAUGACGGUACUCACAGAAGAAGUCCUGGCUAACUCCGUGCCAGCAGCCGCGGUAAUACGGAGAGGGCUAGCGUUAUUCGGAAUUAUUGGGCGUAAAGGGCGCGUAGGCUGAUUAAUAAGUUAAAAGUGAAAUCCCGAGGCUUAACCUUGGAAUUGCUUUUAAAACUAUUAAUCUAGAGAUUGAAAGAGGAUAGAGGAAUUCCUGAUGUAGAGGUAAAAUUCGUAAAUAUUAGGAGGAACACCAGUGGCGAAGGCGUCUAUCUGGUUCAAAUCUGACGCUGAAGCGCGAAGGCGUGGGGAGCAAACAGGAUUAGAUACCCUGGUAGUCCACGCUGUAAACGAUGAAUGUUAAAUAUGGGAAGUUUCCUUUCUGA
This 579-nucleotide ribosomal RNA is filed under the name Wolbachia endosymbiont of Bemisia tabaci. Its description in RNAcentral is "bacterial SSU rRNA". It matches the Rfam family "Bacterial small subunit ribosomal RNA", at positions 245 to 844 of the family's 1533-position model. Lineage: Bacteria; Pseudomonadati; Pseudomonadota; Alphaproteobacteria; Rickettsiales; Anaplasmataceae. The record is from RNAcentral.